CGAUCGGGAGGCCCCUGGUGGGACAGGGGCCAGGAAUGGAUCGGUGAUCGCCGUCUCGUAUGGACGUGCCGCUGGGGCCCGACAGCCAGCGCG
Salipiger mucosus DSM 16094 is the source of this 93-nucleotide regulatory RNA element. It matches the Rfam family "Rhodo-rpoB RNA". NCBI's taxonomy places the organism in Bacteria, Pseudomonadati, Pseudomonadota, Alphaproteobacteria, Rhodobacterales, Roseobacteraceae. The record is from Rfam.